This 298-nucleotide unclassified non-coding RNA is filed under the name plant metagenome. RNAcentral describes it as "partial contains small subunit ribosomal RNA, internal transcribed spacer 1, and 5.8S ribosomal RNA". The record is from RNAcentral.
UUUCCGUAGGUGAACCUGCGGAAGGAUCAUUAUUGAAUGAACUUGGUGUGGUUGUUGCUGGUCCUUUCGGGGGCAUGUGCACGCCCACCAUCCUCAUCUCUCCACCUGUGCACCUCUUGUAGACUUGGAUUGACUUUCCGAGGCAACUCGGUCGGGAGGAUUGCUGGCAUCAGCUGGCUUUCUUUGCAUUUCCGGGUCUACGUUUUUCAUAUACCCCAUUGUAUGUAACAGAAUGUAAUAUUGGGCCCUUGUGCCUAUAAACCUUAUACAACUUUCAGCAACGGAUCUCUUGGCUCUC